GAUGAACGCUGGCGGCGUGCCUAAUACAUGCAAGUCGAACGAGGUGCUUUUGUAGCAAUACGAGAGUAUCCUAGUGGCGAACGGGUGAGUAACGCGUGGAUGACCUGCCCCAAAGUGUGGGAUAACAGUCCGAAAGGAUUGCUAAUACCUCAUGUGGUUAUCGGUUUUAGAAAGCGAUAACUAAAGCAGCAAUGCGCUUUGGGAGGGAUCCGCGUCCCAUCAGCUAGUUGGUGAGGUAACGGCUCACCAAGGCGACGACGGGUAGGGGACCUGAGAGGGUGGCCCCCCACAAUGGAACUGAAACACGGUCCAUACACCUACGGGUGGCAGCAGUAGGGAAUAUUGCUCAAUGGGCGAAAGCCUGAAGCAGCAACGCCGCGUGUGCGAUGAAGGCCUUCGGGUCGUAAGCACUUUCUAAGAGAUGAGAAAGGACAGUAUCUUAGGAAUAAGUCUCGGCUAACUACGUG
RNAcentral lists this ribosomal RNA (467 nucleotides) under uncultured bacterium. RNAcentral's name for it is "bacterial SSU rRNA". It matches the Rfam family "Bacterial small subunit ribosomal RNA", at positions 28 to 507 of the family's 1533-position model. The record is from RNAcentral.